AUGAAUGAUAGUAACACGUAAUCGGAUUGGAUUCAGUUAAAUCUACAUUUCUCAAGGUAUCUAACAUCGAGAUUUGAAAUACCUUUCAUGUAAAAACCUUUCUUUGUCAUGUGACUUGUAUAUAUUCGUGUAUAUGUACCUUCGCAUUCUUGCACAAUGGCACAAGCAACGUGGUCUCUUUCUGUAAAAAAUAGCACUCUUUAUUUCAGCCACAGCAAAGAUCCCGAACCACGUGCAGUCAGCAAAGUUACAGCGUCUGGUUACCGUCUUGCAGUUACGAUACAGCUUCAUGACAGUGUGGACAUUGAGUGCCCCCUACACAAAUAUGCAGUCACUGACAACUUAUGGAGUGACCUGUACAAAACAGAAGAUGCAGACGACUUCCUGGAGACACUUGACAUGCUGAUGAGUGUAUAUAAUGUUGAAUAUGAAGGAGCUGUUUCGGCUGCCAAACCAGGGGACAUACCCUGCAUAUCACUGGCAGAGACCUCCCCAGCAGGCAUUUCACAACCUUCACCCAACAGCUGGUAAAAGUGAGACAGCCCUUCUUUGCAGUGCAGAUACUAAAUGGAGGAAACAGUGCCAGGCAGCAGUGAAACCAACAGAGACAUCACGUCACCGUUUUGGUGGUUGUUUCAAAGUUCAGCUAGCAGUAGCUACGAUGUCAGACAGAUGUUAUCGUCUCAUCCUUGAUAUUAUGGAAUUAUUCAGCCUUGGUAAACUUAAGGAACAAAAGAACACAAAGGUCAACACCUGUCUUUUCUUGGAGACUGCUUCAUUUAAAGAUGAGGCAACCCUUUAUAGGAAGCUAAUAGAAUUUAGAAAUGGUGAAAUCUCCAAAGAAGAGUUCAACAAUCAACUUAAACAGAUUAAACAAGAAAACAAGGGAACUGGAAACAAUCAGGAGGCAGCUGCUGAAGUAUUAGUGCUGCAAGAACAACUGAAAGAGAAGGACAUUUUGAUUCAGGAGCUGAGGAAACAACCAAGUUCUAAGACAGGAACUGGAUAAAAUGGAAAUGGAGAAAUCACAGCAGCCUCGAAGAUGUCAGGAUCAGGAGAAAUCACAGGAAAUACGAAGAUUGCCUGAGCUGGAUGUUUAUGCAUUCAGUGAUGAUGACCUGGACCUACAAGGGACCCUAGUUCGGGGGUUACUCCAUGAGGAAUCAGCACAGGAACAUCAUGAGAAUCUACCCAUCAUGGAAUGCCAGGAUCUUCCAAUUCCACAUUCAAGUUCAAGGCUUAGAAGCAUGAGGAAAACAGGAUCUGACAAGGCAUCUAGAAUUGUUCAAACUGAGAAAAUGGUUGAGACAUACUUGCAAAGGAGGCGGCACAAUAAAAAGAUGUCCCCCUGCAAAUUCAAUGUUGGCAUGAUUGUGGAGGCAUUGGAGGAGGAUGGCUUUUGUUAAAGAAAGGUGACGAAGUAGAGGCCCCAUGGCUGGUGCACAGAGCAGAUAGGUACCCUGGUCAUGUGGAGCGCAUUGAUGGAGAAUAUGUGCACA
Molecule: unclassified non-coding RNA, 1499 nt
Filed under: Haliotis rufescens (red abalone)
Lineage: Eukaryota; Metazoa; Mollusca; Gastropoda; Lepetellida; Haliotidae
Description: uncharacterized LOC124126670, transcript variant X2
Source: RNAcentral